Molecule: ribosomal RNA, 468 nt
Filed under: uncultured bacterium
Lineage: Bacteria
Description: partial 16S ribosomal RNA
Rfam family: Bacterial small subunit ribosomal RNA
Source: RNAcentral
GACGAACGCUGGCGGCGUGCUUAACACAUGCAAGUCGAACGGAAAGGCCCUGCUUUUGUGGGGUGCUCGAGUGGCGAACGGGUGAGUAACACGUGAGUAACCUGCCCUUGACUUUGGGAUAACUUCAGGAAACUGGGGCUAAUACCGGAUAGGAGCUCCUGCUGCAUGGUGGGGGUUGGAAAGUUUCGGCGGUUGGGGAUGGACUCGCGGCUUAUCAGCUUGUUGGUGGGGGAGUGGCUUACCAAGGCUUUGACGGGUAGCCGGCCUGAGAGGGUGACCGGCCACAUUGGGACUGAGAUACGGCCCAGACUCCUACGGGAGGCAGCAGUGGGGAAUAUUGCACAAUGGGCGGAAGCCUGAUGCAGCAACGCCGCGUGCGGGAGGACGGCCUUCGGGUUGUAAACCGCUUUCGCCUGUGACGAAGCGUGAGUGACGGUAAUGGGUAAAGAAGCACCGGCUAACUACGUG